This 433-nucleotide ribosomal RNA is filed under the name uncultured bacterium. Its description in RNAcentral is "partial 16S ribosomal RNA". It matches the Rfam family "Bacterial small subunit ribosomal RNA", at positions 29 to 507 of the family's 1533-position model. The record is from RNAcentral.
AACGAACGCUGGCGGCAUGCCUAACACAUGCAAGUCGAACGAGACCUUCGGGUCUAGUGGCGCACGGGUGCGUAACGCGUGGUAACCUGCCCUUAGGUUCGGAAUAACUCCCCGUAAGGGGUGCUAAUACCGGAUAAUGUCUUCGGACCUAAGAUUUAUGGCCUUUGGAUGGGCCCGCGUUGGAUUAGCUAGUUGGUAGUGUAAAAGCCUACCAAGGCGAGGAUGCAGAGCUGGUCUGAGAGGAUGAUCAGCCACACUGGGAAUGAGACACGGCCCAGACUCCGACGGAGAGCAGCAGAGGGGAAUAUUGGACGAGGAGCGAAAACCUGAUCCAGCCAUGCCGGGUGAGUGGUGAAGGCCUUAGGGUUGUAAAGCCCUUUUACCCGAGAUGAUAAUGACAGUAACGGGAGAAUAAGCACCGGCUAACUACGUG